Molecule: ribosomal RNA, 478 nt
Filed under: uncultured bacterium
Lineage: Bacteria
Description: partial 16S ribosomal RNA
Rfam family: Bacterial small subunit ribosomal RNA
Source: RNAcentral
GACGAACGCUGGCGGCGUGCUUAACACAUGCAAGUCGAACGGUAAGGCCCUUCGGGGUACACGAGUGGCGAACGGGUGAGUAACACGUGGGUGAUCUGCCCUGCACUUCGGGAUAAGCCUGGGAAACUGGGUCCAAUACCGGAUAGGACCACUGCCUGCAUGGGUGGGGGUGGAAAGCUUUUGCGGUGUGGGAUGGGCCCGCGGCCUAUCAGCUUGUUGGUGGGGUGAUGGCCUACCAAGGGGACGGCGGGUAGCCGGCCUGAGAGGGUGACCGGCCACACUGGGACUGAGAUACGGCCCAGACUCCUACGGGAGGCAGCAGUGGGGAAUAUUGCACAAUGGGCGCAAGCCUGAUGCAGCGACGCCGCGUGAGGGAUGACGGCCUUCGGGUUGUAAACCUCUUUCAGCACCGACGAAGCGCAAGUGACGGUAGGUGCAGAAGAAGGACCGGCCAACUACGUGCCAGCCGCCGCCGUAA